RNAcentral lists this unclassified non-coding RNA (358 nucleotides) under soil metagenome. Its description in RNAcentral is "partial contains 5.8S ribosomal RNA, internal transcribed spacer 2, and large subunit ribosomal RNA". The stretch from base 1 to 120 matches the Rfam family "5.8S ribosomal RNA", at positions 35 to 154 of the family's 154-position model. The record is from RNAcentral.
GAUGAAGAACGCAGUGAAAUGCGAUAAGUAAUGUGAAUUGCAGAAUUCAGUGAAUCAUCGAAUCUUUGAACGCACAUUGCGCCCGUCAGUAUUCUGGCGGGCAUGCCUGUUCGAGCGUCAUUACGCCCCUCAAGUCCCCUGUGGACUUGGUGUUGGGGAUCGGCGAGGCUGGUUUUCCAGCACAGCCGUCCCUUAAAUUAAUUGGCGGUCUCGCCGUGGCCCUCCUCUGCGCAGUAGUAAAACACUCGUAACAGGAGCCCGGCGCGGUCCACUGCCGUAAAACCCCCCAACUUUUUAUAGUUGACCUCGAAUCAGGUAGGACUACCCGCUGAACUUAAGCAUAUCAAUAAGCGGAGGA